CCUACGGGAGGCAGCAGUGGGGAAUUUUGGACAAUGGGCGAAAGCCUGAUCCAGCAAUGCCGCGUGAGUGAAGAAGGCCUUCGGGUUGUAAAGCUCUUUUGUCAGGGAAGAAACGGUGAGGGCUAAUAUCCCUUGCUAAUGACGGUACCUGAAGAAUAAGCACCGGCUAACUACGUGCCAGCAGCCGCGGUAAUACGUAGGGUGCAAGCGUUAAUCGGAAUUACUGGGCGUAAAGCGUGCGCAGGCGGUUUUGUAAGUCUGUCGUGAAAUCCCCGGGCUCAACCUGGGAAUUGCGAUGGAGACUGCAAGGCUAGAAUCUGGCAGAGGGGGGUAGAAUUCCACGUGUAGCAGUGAAAUGCGUAGAGAUGUGGAGGAACACCGAUGGCGAAGGCAGCCCCCUGGGUCAAGAUUGACGCUCAUGCACGAAAGCGUGGGGAGCAAACAGGAUUAGAUACCCUGGUAGUCCACGCCCUAAACGAUGUCUACUAGUUGUCGGGUUUUAAUUAACUUGGUAACGCAGCUAACGCGUGAAGUAGACCGCCUGGGGAUACGGUCGCAAGNUUAAAACNCAAAUGAAAUUGACGGNUGAGAGNGCGACGACGACGACGAGGAGGAGG
This 617-nucleotide ribosomal RNA is filed under the name uncultured bacterium. Its description in RNAcentral is "bacterial SSU rRNA". It matches the Rfam family "Bacterial small subunit ribosomal RNA", at positions 338 to 944 of the family's 1533-position model. The record is from RNAcentral.